RNAcentral lists this unclassified non-coding RNA (194 nucleotides) under uncultured fungus. RNAcentral's name for it is "sequence contains ITS1". The record is from RNAcentral. Lineage: Eukaryota; Fungi.
UUAACUAUUUUAUAAUACUCAGACGACAUUAGAUUAAGAGUUUAGGUCCCCUCUGGCAGACACUAGCCAGCCUAAGCCGGUAGACUAUUUGUCUGGCCUGCCAAAGCAACAAAGGAAUGUUAACAAAGGGUGGGAGAUCUACCCUGAAGGGCAGGUUCUCUGUAAUGAUCCUUCCGCAGGUUCACCUACGGAAA